Molecule: transfer RNA, 87 nt
Filed under: Stachybotrys elegans
Lineage: Eukaryota; Fungi; Ascomycota; Sordariomycetes; Hypocreales; Stachybotryaceae
Rfam family: tRNA
About the family: Transfer RNA (tRNA) molecules are approximately 80 nucleotides in length. Their secondary structure includes four short double-helical elements and three loops (D, anti-codon, and T loops). Further hydrogen bonds mediate the characteristic L-shaped molecular structure. tRNAs have two regions of fundamental functional importance: the anti-codon, which is responsible for specific mRNA codon recognition, and the 3' end, to which the tRNAs corresponding amino acid is attached (by aminoacyl-tRNA synthetases). tRNAs cope with the degeneracy of the genetic code in two manners: having more than one tRNA (with a specific anti-codon) for a particular amino acid; and 'wobble' base-pairing, i.e. permitting non-standard base-pairing at the 3rd anti-codon position.
Source: Rfam by way of RNAcentral
UCCUCUGUGGCGCAAUUGGCUAGCGCGUCUGACUGUUAUUCAUCGAAUGUCAUCAGGAGGUUGACAGUUCAAGCCUGUCCGGAGGAG